CCCAGAAGUUGUUGGUGCCCUGGUCCGGGUCCAAAAAGCCCUGAUGGUGCAGGUUAUGGCAUCGGGGAGGCACCGGAGAUCUAACCAUAGCCACCAGGUUUGCUGGAGCAUGGAGAGGGGUGGAACCACAGGGGGCCAGAGGUAGGAAGCCCUGCUCACCACGCGACAAGCGCUAGCCAGAGCCGCCUGCGUGUGCAGUAGCAUCUCGUGGCAUGAGGGACCUUGUGGUCCAGGCCUCACUGCAGCGCACCCAACCGUCUCCUCCGGGCUGGCCCUGCAGAAACCGCGGAGGGGAACGGGCACGGGGGCAGCACCAAAGGUGUGGACGUGGGAAGCCUUGGGAUGUUUCGGGCUUUGGGGUCUGGCCGUGGUUAAGGCCACCUAGGAGGCCGGCCAGCCCUGGUGCCGAGAAGGAGCAGCCAGUGAGGUGGGAGCCAGCGCGGGCCCGAGGACGAGCGUUUCCUGGGGGAGGUGUGUUGGCUGCAUCACAUGUUGGUGACCUUGGCUUCGGCAAGAUGGAGCUCCUCGUUGUCCCCAAGAGCAGUGUCAGUGGCGGGUGGGGACAGCUUGGGACCGAAGGGGGCUGAGGGGCGUGCCGGAGGAUGUGAUGGGGGUGGCUGAGGGGGGUGGGGCAUCUGGGUGCUUUUCCCCCGAGGGAUGGAGAGGGCUGAGCCUGCUGGAAGCAGGAAGCAGUGGCAGAUGCCGCAGAGAUAGAAAGCGGUUGCCAAAGAGGCAGAGGGAACGGGCCGGGGCCUGGGUGAGCAGGUGGGGACGCAGAGGGAAGGGCGUGGACUCUGCACAUCGGGUUUGGUGGCAGGAUGGCGAGCAAAGGCCACCAAGAAGCAGGUGGGCGAGGCAGUGACUCGCCCCAGGUCAAGGGACUGCUUUUCCCACCCUCGCCCGCCCAGCACCCGGAACGAUGACUUAUCCAUGUGACAAUCUGAUGAUGGGCGGUGGCAGCACCGUGGGAAGGCAGCUGGAAGGAAGUCUGAGUUCAGAAACGUACAAGUUCCAACACACAGCUCUGCUUGUUUUUCCCAGGCCAGGCUGGGCAGGCAGAAGCCCUGAAGCCAUGGAAACGACACAGACCACCUGUCCCGCCCCGGCUCUGCUCUGCCCAGUGGCUUUCUUCGUCUCUGCAGACCUCCUGGCGUGCUGGCCCUGCCCCAGCUGGGCUCCGGGCAGAACAGCCCUCCCCGGCCUGGCCCCCGCCCACCCGGGACCGCCGCUGGGCUGGCGCAGAGAAAACUCUGGGGUCCCUCGCUGCUCCCAGCACUCGGGCUUCUCGGUCCUCGGCCCCUUCCCUCCUCCUCCAGCCAGUCUCGGGGGCCCAGGAGGGAGGCCAGCUCCGAAGUGCUCUCUGAUCAGAGCUGCCCCCAAGAUGAAGCGGGCUACCUUGAAAGGUGGUGACCUCCCCGUCACAUGAGACAUGCAAGAGUAGAGCCCUGAAGCUGCUGUAAGAGAAUCCUGGGUCUGUGUGGGGAAAAUGAACUGACUGAAUAAAUGAGUGUGGGAUGAGUCCUUUCUCUCA
RNAcentral lists this long non-coding RNA (1531 nucleotides) under Sus scrofa (pig). RNAcentral describes it as "lncRNA (ENSSSCG00070028789.1)". The record is from RNAcentral. Lineage: Eukaryota; Metazoa; Chordata; Mammalia; Artiodactyla; Suidae.